ACGGAGGAUGAGAGCGUUAUCCGGAAUCAUUGGGUUUAAAGGGCGCGCAGGCGGAUCAAUAAGUUAGUUGUGAAAGACCAUAGCUUAACCGUGGAACUGCCAUUGAUACUGUUGGACUAGAGUACGGUUGAGGAAGGCAGAAUUCGAGAUGUAGCGGUUGAAUGCUUAGAGAUGAGGCAGAACACCGAUUGCGAAGGCAGUAUACUAAGUUAUGACUUACGCUCAUUUGCGAAAAUGUGGGGAUCAAUCAG
RNAcentral lists this ribosomal RNA (251 nucleotides) under uncultured prokaryote. Its description in RNAcentral is "partial 16S rRNA". It matches the Rfam family "Bacterial small subunit ribosomal RNA", at positions 525 to 775 of the family's 1533-position model. The record is from RNAcentral.